GCCGCGCAUAACGUUUUCUGUACAAGCACCUAUCAGUCCGUAAGUUCUCGCUUUCUAACGUCGAAGUUCGGGCAAAAUCUUUCAAAGUUAUAAUUUUUGGUUGAAAGUGGCCUGAUUUAGGUAUUACUUGAAGUAUAAAUUUGCAAAGAUAAGACACUUGCUGGAGAAUUAUUUACACGUCUGAAGUUUUAGUUUUGCGUUUUGCGAUCGAUUUUGAAGGCGUGUGGUUUUGCCUUGUGACUUGAGACCUGAGAACGCAGUUAUCUGUGUACGGACAGCUGAAGUUCUUCGUCAACUUUCCAUACUCUAGCUUUCAAAGCCUUCGUGAGCAAAAUUGUUGCAACGAUGCCUCGUGCUCCCAAAUCCGCUCCCCUGUCUCCCAAAAAGAUGAAGUGGCUUGUAGCUACUCGCAUCGACCGCGAAGAUGAAUUCCGCCACUGUACCAGUAAGGCGAAGUUCUGGUCAAAAGUUUUCCAGGAAAUGCAGAGCGUUUUUAAAGAUGCCCUGGAUAACCGCACCAGUGAAAACCUGAAGAUCUCCUACGAAAAUGCGUGGAAGAAAUAUAAGAUAUGAAAUUUUUUCUUGCGGCUUGUAAGCGUAAUUAUGUCGAAUUUGUUCGUCUGUUCCAGUUCACACAUGCCACCAGUAAUUACGCUUUAACAGUAGAUUUUACAAUCUGAUAUAUACAUUGAGGAUUUUUUGUGGUUACUU
Paramacrobiotus metropolitanus is the source of this 711-nucleotide long non-coding RNA. RefSeq lists it as uncharacterized. NCBI's taxonomy places the organism in Eukaryota, Metazoa, Tardigrada, Eutardigrada, Parachela, Macrobiotidae. The transcript has 4 exons. The record is from RefSeq and is a predicted model, not a curated record.